UUGGGAUAUUCGUAGCAAAAUGCAAAUUCAUGCUCUGUCUGGACAUGAUAACACUGUUUGUUCUGUUUUUACCAGGCCAAUGGAUCCACAGGUUAUAACUGGCUCUCAUGACAGUACCAUUAAGUUCUGGGACCUUAGAUAUGGUAAGACAAUGGCAACCCUCACACAUCACAAGAAAUCUGUUCGAGCUAUGGCUCAACUUCC
This is a non-coding RNA of Nicotiana tabacum (common tobacco), 204 nucleotides long. The record is from RefSeq and is a predicted model, not a curated record. Lineage: Eukaryota; Viridiplantae; Streptophyta; Magnoliopsida; Solanales; Solanaceae.